Molecule: long non-coding RNA, 668 nt
Filed under: Monodelphis domestica (gray short-tailed opossum)
Lineage: Eukaryota; Metazoa; Chordata; Mammalia; Didelphimorphia; Didelphidae
Description: lncRNA (ENSMODG00000031175.2)
Source: RNAcentral
GACUCUGAGGAGGCACAACAUAGUCGACAAGCAAUUCCACUGGGUUGUACAAAUGUUGUCACUUUACAAAGGGUAUUAAAAGAGAAGAAAGAGGUUUUUUAAAAAUGAUAUUCAACAAUGGAUAACAUCUGAUCAUAAUUAUCAGAGGCCCAUCUCUUUAAUACCAACAUUCUGCCUGUUUUGAAGUAGAGCAGCAAGACAUGGAAUACAAGUUUCCAAAGAAUUAAAAAUGAAUAUCACCCAGAGGAGUCAAAUACCUCAAGAUUGUCUCCUGCCUCAGCUUUCUCCUGGGCCUGUCUGCAUAAGUAACUCUAAUGCAUAGUGCCAUGACCGAAGGGAGAAGAUCAAGAAGAAAAGAAAAAUUUAUUCUCCUAGCUUCCAAGUAAAGAUCCAAGUGAAGAAGCAAAAAAGUGAACCCUUCUCAAGAGCUCUGUUAUAUCUUCUUUAAGAAUUAAAAAUUAGGUUUGAGCCAAUAUGAGAGUUACAAAAGUGAGAUUGUGGUCGCCAUUUAUAAAAUAUUAGCCCUCAAGUCAGAAAUGACUGUUAGCAGCUUUUAUUUUACUACAAGGUAGAGAUAUUGAAAAUGGGAAAUGUAGGAAGGAGACAGAGCUUUGUCUAUCCUACUGCCCUAAGUUCUGCUCAGGUGAAGUCUGGCUCAGCCCCCUGCA